AGCAGCCGCGGUAAUUCCAGCUCCAAUAGCGUAUAUUAAAGUUGUUGCAGUUAAAAAGCUCGUAGUUGAACUUCGGGGUCUACCCAUUGGUCAGGCUUAAUUGUCUGCACUGGUGAGAUGGAUCUCUACCUUCUGAGGAACUUUCAUGCCAUUUAUUUGGUGUGAUGGGAAAUCAGGACUGUUACUUUGAAAAAAUUAGAGUGUUUAAAGCAGACUAUCGUCUGAAUACAUUAGCAUGGAAUAAUGAAAUAGGACGGACUGAUUCUAUUUCGUUGGUUUCUAGGAUCACCGUAAUGAUUAAUAGGGAUAGUUGGGGGCAGUUAGUAUUCAAUUGUCAGAGGUGAAAUUCUUGGAUUUAUUGAAGACUAACUACUGCGAAAGCAUUUGCCAAGGAUGUUUUCAUUAAUCAAGAACGAAAGUUAGGGGAUCGAAGACGAUCAGAGACCGUCGUAGUCUUAACCAUAAACUAUGCCGACUAGGGAUCGGACGAAGUUAAUUUUANAAUGACGCGUUC
This 514-nucleotide ribosomal RNA is filed under the name uncultured Diversispora. RNAcentral's name for it is "SSU rRNA". It matches the Rfam family "Eukaryotic small subunit ribosomal RNA", at positions 569 to 1081 of the family's 1831-position model. Lineage: Eukaryota; Fungi; Glomeromycota; Glomeromycetes; Diversisporales; Diversisporaceae. The record is from RNAcentral.